CGAGGUGUAGCGCAGCUGGUAGCGCGCCUGUUUUGGGAGCAGGAUGCCGCAGGUUCAAGUCCUGUCACCUCGACCA
RNAcentral lists this transfer RNA (76 nucleotides) under Candidatus Butyricicoccus avistercoris. RNAcentral's name for it is "tRNA-Pro". It matches the Rfam family "tRNA". From Rfam's summary of the family: Transfer RNA (tRNA) molecules are approximately 80 nucleotides in length. Their secondary structure includes four short double-helical elements and three loops (D, anti-codon, and T loops). Further hydrogen bonds mediate the characteristic L-shaped molecular structure. tRNAs have two regions of fundamental functional importance: the anti-codon, which is responsible for specific mRNA codon recognition, and the 3' end, to which the tRNAs corresponding amino acid is attached (by aminoacyl-tRNA synthetases). tRNAs cope with the degeneracy of the genetic code in two manners: having more than one tRNA (with a specific anti-codon) for a particular amino acid; and 'wobble' base-pairing, i.e. permitting non-standard base-pairing at the 3rd anti-codon position. Lineage: Bacteria; Bacillati; Bacillota; Clostridia; Eubacteriales; Butyricicoccaceae. The record is from RNAcentral.